GACGAACGCUGGCGGCGUGCCUAAUACAUGCAAGUAGAACGCUGAAGGAGUAGCUUGCUCUUCUGGAUGAGUUGCGAACGGGUGAGUAACGCGUAGGUAACCUGCCUGUUAGCGGGGGAUAACUAUUGGAAACGAUAGCUAAUACCGCACAACAGUAGAUGUUGCAUGACAUUUACUUAAAAGGUGCAAUUGCAUCACUACCAGAUGGAGCUGCGUUGUAUUAGCUAGUUGGUGUGGUAACGGCUCACCAAGGCGGCGAUGCAUAGCCGACCUGAGAGGUGGAGCGGCCACACUGGGACUGAGACACGGCCCAGACUCCUACGGGAGGCAGCAGUAGGGAAUCUUCGGCAAGGGACGGAAGUCUGACCGAGCAACGCCGCGUGAGUGAAGAAGGUCUUCGGAUCGGAAAGCACUGUUGUAAGAGAAGAACGAGUGUGAGAGUGGAAAGUUCACACUGUGACGGUAUCUUACCAGAAAGGGACGGCUAACUACGUG
RNAcentral lists this ribosomal RNA (495 nucleotides) under uncultured bacterium. RNAcentral describes it as "partial 16S ribosomal RNA". It matches the Rfam family "Bacterial small subunit ribosomal RNA", at positions 28 to 507 of the family's 1533-position model. The record is from RNAcentral.